CGGGUUCUGCCCCUCUCGUGCAAGGCCGAUUUUCCAGUGGCCGAUAAGCAAUUCCGAGGGAGCUGGCUCUGCCGGGGCCGUGGCCUCGGUAUCUGGCGCCCACCUGGUUAAACCAGGCUCUCGGGAAAACAGCGCCUUCACGGUUGCCGCGGGCCCGCC
RNAcentral lists this unclassified non-coding RNA (159 nucleotides) under Allgaiera indica. RNAcentral describes it as "Defluviimonas indica 6S / SsrS RNA". Lineage: Bacteria; Pseudomonadati; Pseudomonadota; Alphaproteobacteria; Rhodobacterales; Paracoccaceae. The record is from RNAcentral.